CCGCAGUGUGUCUGUGAGGUCAGUGGCCUGCAGUGAGCAUGUUCCCAGUGUUUUCCCUGACAUGUGAUGCACACCACCAUGUAGAUGGUAGGCUGUGCGUGGCGUGUGCCAGUGCUGCAGGCACAGACACACUGCUCCCCUCUCCUACGGCACUUCCUCCAUCUUCAGACACAGGUGCAGGUGCAUCCCUCCUGUUUCAGAGACACGGGUGCAGGUGUGUGGUGUGGACCCAGGCAGACUUUGGCACAUGCUCAGGGGUAUGCAGGCUCCAUGUUCUCUCAGAAUGAGGAGUGACCACAGUGAAGGCGGCAAGGGGAGGCCCUGGAGGAGAGAGCACGUGCCCCCAACCAUGAGGAAGCAGUCUAUGAACAUCAGGUCUGAAUUACGAUUAACGAAGCGGAUGAAGAGGCUCCAAGACUGCGUGAGCUCCGAGACCUUCUAGUUCCGGGGCCCAGCGUGCAGGCCCACAGAGAGUGGGGAGGUCUCGGAGGGAGGAGGCAGCGUCCCUGGGCCGCGCACCCCUGAGCCGGGGACAAUUCUGGAAAGAACGUGGGGAGAAGCAGAGGCCUGAGACACAGGUGGCUCGGAGCACAGCAGCGGCGCCCAAUCCUGCCUUAGUGUGGAUGUGGAGUCUGUCUCUCAUCCCUUCUCUCCCAGGGGAAAACUCCGUUUUGAAUUUCCUUCAGCUCUUCAUAUCUGUCUUCUUUGGCAAAUAAAGGAUUAAAAAAAGAGAAUGAGAGAAAAACAGCUUUGCUGUAGAGAAGAGAAAAAAAAUAAAGGAAAAAACACCAAAACACCAACAGAAGUCGGCGUUAUAAUCCGUAGUCGCAGACACAGAAGUGGUCCGGGAAUCCAGACCUUCAUCUGUCCGCUCACGCCCCUGGAGGCAGCAUGUGGAGUCUGAGGACUGAGAGGCUGCCAGGAUGUGGCAGCCUCCUGGCUUGUAUCUGUCCCGGUGCUUCGAGGGCAGGCAGGGGCUGCCUCAGUCGCUUGGUCUUGCUCCUCAGCUUGGUUGGGUUCUGAGUGACAAUGACCCCCCCGGUACAGUUCUCUCGUUAAACGCUGACAGAAACGUCCUGGAGACCUCCUCGUCUCCUGCUGCUGCCCUGGGCCCCAGACUCCUCUCAAAGGGAUGCAGCCUCGGGGCGGGGCGGCCCCACUCGGGUCUCCUUCUCGGCUCCUGUGGCGGCCUGGCCUCCAACCAUCACACAUUCCCCAUGUUCUCACCUAAGUUGUCAGAAGACUUGAACCACAGGUCUGAAAACCCCUGCACUUUAUCAGUUCAGGGUGACAUUGUUCUAAUUUUUAAAAAUUACAGCACUCUCUCUUUUUUCCAGAAAGGGUAUAAACAAGCAGACAGUUUGGGUUGUAUUUUCCCUUCCUUGCCAUAAGCUCUUCUUUGAAUUGCCAGAGGGAAUGAGCU
RNAcentral lists this long non-coding RNA (1423 nucleotides) under Equus asinus (donkey). RNAcentral describes it as "lncRNA (ENSEASG00005031715.1)". Lineage: Eukaryota; Metazoa; Chordata; Mammalia; Perissodactyla; Equidae. The record is from RNAcentral.